RNAcentral lists this ribosomal RNA (1242 nucleotides) under metagenome. RNAcentral's name for it is "bacterial LSU rRNA". It matches the Rfam family "Bacterial large subunit ribosomal RNA", at positions 1564 to 2813 of the family's 2925-position model. The record is from RNAcentral.
UGAAUACGAGACGCUAAGGCGUCGAAGUAGUGUAUGUCAUACUUCCAAGAAAAGCUUGCACUGUCAUAAGUAAAAAGUGCCUGUACCAUAACCGACACAGGUGGGUAGGUAGAGUAUACUAAGGGGCGCGAGAUAACUCUCUCUAAGGAACUCGGCAAAAUAACUCCGUAACUUCGGGAGAAGGAGUACCUUAUUCUAUAAGGUUGCAAUAACAAGAUCCAAGCAACUGUUUAUCAAAAACACAGGUCUCCGCUAAGUCGUAAGACGAUGUAUGGGGGCUGACGCCUGCCCAGUGCCAGAAGGUUAAAGAAGUCGGUUAGCAUUAGCGAAGCUGGUAACUGAAGCCCUGGUGAACGGCGGCCGUAACAAUAACGGUCCUAAGGUAGCGAAAUUCCUUGUCGGGUAAGUUCCGACCCGCACGAAAGGCGUAAUGAUUUGGAUACUGUCUCGGAGAGGGGCUCGGUGAAAUAGACUUGUCUGUGAAGAUGCGGACUACCUGCACCAGGACAGAAAGACCCUAUGAAGCUUUACUGUAACUUGAAAUUGAAAUUGGACUUUAUUCGCGCAGUAUAGGUGGGAGGUGUUGAUUAUAAUCUUGCGGGAUUAUUGGAGCCAUCAGUGAGAUACCACUCUUGUAAUGUUAGAUUUCUAACUUUUGGAUCAUUAUCUGGUCAAAGGACAGUUUCAGGCGGGCAGUUUGACUGGGGCGGUCGCCUCCCAAACGGUAACGGAGGCGUACAAAGGUUUCCUCUGAACGGGUAGAAAUCGUAUCUAGAGUGUAAAGGCAUAAGGAAGCUUGACUGUGAGACCUACAAGUCGAACAGGGACGAAAGUCGGUCUUAGUGAUCUGACGGUACUGAGUGGAAAGGCCGUCACUCAACGGAUAAAAGUUACUCUAAGGAUAACAGGCUGAUCUCCCCCAAGAGUUCACAUCGACGGGGAGGUUUGGCACCUCGAUGUCGGCUCAUCGCAUCCUGGGGCGGUAGUACGUCCCAAGGGUUGGGCUGUUCGCCCAUGAAAGCGGUACGCGAGCUGGGUUCAGAACGUCGUGAGACAGUUCGGUCCAUAUCCGGUGUAGGCGUUAGAAUAUUGAGAGGAGCCUUCUUUAGUACGAGAGGACCGAGAAGGACAUACCUCUGGUGUACCAGUUAUCGUGCCAACGGUAAACGCUGGGUAGCUAUGUAUGGAGUGGAUAACCGCUGAAAGCAUCUAAGUGGGAAGCCCACCUCAAGAUAAGUAUUC